UCCCCUGUAGCUCAGUGAUAGAGCGCUCUCCCUAUUUUUAAGGCCUAUUUUUAGAAGACGGCUACGGUUUGAGUCUGUGCAGGGGAG
Molecule: non-coding RNA, 87 nt
Organism: Aspergillus carbonarius ITEM 5010
Lineage: Eukaryota; Fungi; Ascomycota; Eurotiomycetes; Eurotiales; Aspergillaceae
Source: the annotation of a GenBank genome assembly